AUGGGAACGCGAAGAACCUUACCUACUCUUGACAUCCAGAGAACUUUCCAGAGGUGGAUUGGUGCCUUCGGGAACUCUGAGACAGGUGCUGCAUGGCUGUCGUCAGCUCGUGUUGUGAAAUGUUGGGUUAAGUCCCGCAACGAGCGCAACCCUUAUCCUUUGUUGCCAGCGGUUAGGCCGGGAACUCAAAGGAGACUGCCAGUGAUAAACUGGAGGAAGGUGGGGAUGACGUCAAGUCAUCAUGGCCCUUACGAGUAGGGCUACACACGUGCUACAAUGGCGCAUACAAAGAGAAGCGACCUCGCGAGAGCAAGCGGACCUCAUAAAGUGCGUCGUAGUCCGGAUUGGAGUCUGCAACUCGACUCCAUGAAGUCGGAAUCGCUAGUAAUCGUAGAUCAGAAUGCUACGGUGAAUACGUUCCCGGGUCUUGUACACACCG
RNAcentral lists this ribosomal RNA (439 nucleotides) under uncultured bacterium. RNAcentral describes it as "bacterial SSU rRNA". It matches the Rfam family "Bacterial small subunit ribosomal RNA", at positions 954 to 1392 of the family's 1533-position model. The record is from RNAcentral.